CAGAUGUGGAGGCACAAGGGGUGACACCAGACACACACCAAGCACAUUGUUCGGACAUUCAAUCAUGACAUGAUCCAGGUGGAUGCUGUCCAUUGAGGAAAGAGUUUGUUCAGAGGUUUCUGGAUAGAAUUAAUUCCAAAGAUGGGAAAAAGUGCACAUCCAGACAAGGAGCAAGCAAAUAGACAAGGAACUUGGUGCAGAGAAAAGCUGUGGCCAUUAACCCCCAUGUGAACAGCUUCAUGCAGUCCCUGAUUGAGUUUGAAUGGACGACUUCAAAGUAAAGGCCACUGUGGUCUGUCUGCCACAGUUUAAUGCAUUUAUUUAUUUUUAGUGUUCAAUGAAAUUCAAGUAGAAUAUUUAAAACUAUGGGCCAGUGUUCUUUUUACCACAGUGAAAUGUUACCUUUAAGUCGAUGAUGGACUUUAAACUGAAAACUUCAAACUAUGGAACAGUGUUCUAUUUGCCAGAGUUAAAUAUGUUACAGCAGGGGUCUCCAAACUUGUUUAUACUUGUUGAUUUUAUUUUAUGUUACUUGAUUAUAUGUUUAUUAUUGUUUAAAAUCUUGUUUUAAAUGUUUUGUUUCAAUUAAAUGUUUUUUUAAAUAAAAUUUUGAUACAAACAUUGCUUGGAUUGCCUUUUAAUUCAUUAUGUCAUGUCAAGGAUAGCAUUUUUACCAUAUUAAUAACUAUAGAUUUAAACCUAAAUCUCUAUCUAUUUUAUAUAAUAUUAUUGUAUUAACUGUAAUAAGUAAUAAAUAGUAUUUAUGGGUCAAUAUAGACAUUACAGUAAAUUACUGUAAAAAUAGACUACUGUAAUAAAAUAUUGUAAAAUUACAGUACAGUACUGCUUUGUAACUAUACAGUACUAGUUUGUGUACUGUAAAAUGGUAUUACAGUACAGUACUGUAAACCCAAAAUACAGUAACUUACUGGCAACCGUGCUGCCAGUACCGUACUGUAAAAAUACAGGGAAAUCGUUAAC
Molecule: long non-coding RNA, 981 nt
Organism: Paramisgurnus dabryanus
Lineage: Eukaryota; Metazoa; Chordata; Actinopteri; Cypriniformes; Cobitidae
Source: RefSeq, a predicted model, not a curated record